RNAcentral lists this transfer RNA (88 nucleotides) under Puniceicoccales bacterium. RNAcentral's name for it is "tRNA-Ser". It matches the Rfam family "tRNA". From Rfam's summary of the family: Transfer RNA (tRNA) molecules are approximately 80 nucleotides in length. Their secondary structure includes four short double-helical elements and three loops (D, anti-codon, and T loops). The record is from RNAcentral. Lineage: Bacteria; Pseudomonadati; Verrucomicrobiota; Opitutia; Puniceicoccales.
GGAGAGAUGGCAGAGUGGCCGAAUGCACCGGUCUUGAAAACCGGAGAGGAGCAAUCCUUCGGGGGUUCGAAUCCCUCUCUCUCCGCCA